CGGGGUGAGUAAUGUAUGGGGAUCUGCCUGAUGGCGGGGGAUAACUACUGGAAACGGUAGCUAAUACCGCAUAACGUCGCAAGACCAAAGAGGGGGACCUUCGGGCCGUCUUGCCAUCGGAUGUGCCCAGAUGGGAUUAGCUAGUAGGUGGGGUAACGGCUCACCUAGGCGACGAUCCCUAGCUGGUCUGAGAGGAUGACCAGCCACACUGGAACUGAGACACGGUCCAG
This 230-nucleotide ribosomal RNA is filed under the name uncultured bacterium. Its description in RNAcentral is "partial 16S ribosomal RNA". It matches the Rfam family "Bacterial small subunit ribosomal RNA", at positions 104 to 334 of the family's 1533-position model. The record is from RNAcentral.